CAUAGUGUGGUACGGCUCUACGGAGUUGUGCCAUACGUUUCGAAUAACGUGCCAGGGAGUUCAUCUAAGUGGCAAGGGUAAUCUACAAGAGUACCCAAAGCGAAAGCAACAUGCUCACAGCUUGCGAGGAGCGUGGUAUGAAAAUGCCAGAAGUCACUUGGGUGUAACCCGAAGCCGGACGAUCUAACCGUGGGUAAGGUGAAGCAACCGUAAAAGGUUGUGGAGGCCUGAAGAGGUUCUACGAGCAAGUGUUCUUCUAACUUGCGGUUAGGGGUGAAAAGCCAAUCGAGUCCGGCAAUAGCUGGUUCCUACCGAAAUUGGCCGUAGUCAAGCCUUAGGGGAGAUAGUUGGAGUAGUAGAGCUACGGGUUGAAGAUUUAGGUCCUGAAAGGGAUCGGUUUUCUGUCCAACUCCGAACAUUUCAACAUCAAAGAACCUAAGAGACGGGAAGCCGAGGUAAGCUCGGUUUCCGAGAGGGGAACAACCCAGACUAUAGUUAAGGUCCCUAAAUACUGACUAAGUGUGAAAGGGUGAAAAGUGUCUAUCGUCGAAGACAGCAAGGAGGUUGGCUUAGAAGCAGCCAUCCUUUAAAAAGUGCGUAACAGCUUACUCGUCAAGAUGAUAGGCCUUUAAAAUGGACGGGACUAAGUCAGUUACCGAUACUAUAGAAUGCUUAAAAAGCAAUUAGU
This 688-nucleotide ribosomal RNA is filed under the name Candidatus Woesearchaeota archaeon. RNAcentral describes it as "partial 23S ribosomal RNA". It matches the Rfam family "Archaeal large subunit ribosomal RNA", at positions 555 to 1316 of the family's 2987-position model. The record is from RNAcentral. Lineage: Archaea; Nanobdellati; Candidatus Woesearchaeota.